Molecule: long non-coding RNA, 914 nt
Organism: Leopardus geoffroyi (Geoffroy's cat)
Lineage: Eukaryota; Metazoa; Chordata; Mammalia; Carnivora; Felidae
Exons: 3
Source: RefSeq, a predicted model, not a curated record
GUUAAGCUGAAGUGAUUUGAAUGUCUUCAUCCAAGUCUCCUGAGAAUCCAGCAACUCCUUUGACGUGUGGCUUCUACAAACUCCCACCUGGUCUGGAGGGUUCUGUAUGUAGGUAAUGAUGCCUUGGGACUUUUUCUCCUCACCUGAAGUUGUACAGCGGUAGAGAAACAAGACUGGCUAUGACUUGUCAGCAGAGAAGAUAAAAGCUGUCAGCCACGGACUGGAGUUGAGAAAGGGCAUGGGAAACUGAGAAAACGACCAGAAUCGCUGGCAAUCCACUGGCUGGCACAAUGCUGAAUCUCGAUGAGACUGCUGUCUUCGAAUCUUUGCAGAUGUGAUUAAGUGAAGGAUCACGAGAUAAGAUCAUCCUCCAUUGAGGGCUGGCCCUACAUCCAAUGAUUGUCCUUAUACGGAAAGGAGACAAAUUUUGGAUACAGAGACCGGGAAGGCCUGCAGAGAUUUGGAGCAAUCUACACAAUGAGGAGCUCUGAGGGUUCUUAGCGGCCACCAGAAGCCAGGAGAGAGGGAUGGAACAGAUUCUGUUUCAGACCUUCCAGAAGGAACCAACACUGCUGAUGUCUUGAUUUUGGACUCGUGUCCUCCAGAACUGUGAAAGAACAGAUUUCCACUGUUUUAGGUCAUUAAAUCUACAGUCAUUUGUUAUGACAGUUCUGGGAGAGUAACACCCCAUUCCCAUUGAGAAACCUUGUUAUGAGGACUUGCCAGGCUGCUGGUUCCCCUGGGCUGUUCACCCUGGUUUAUCUGUCCUGGAGGACCAUGUUUUCCCUUGGCUGUCGAUGCUCCCUUUGGCAAAUUUUGGUAUGUUACCACUUUGAUAACGCUGCUCCCUUUCUGAAGCUGCAGUGAGUUCCAGAUGAUUCCAAGUGACAUUUAAAUACAUUCUCACAUCUUAA